UGGGGAAUAUUGCACAAUGGGCGAAAGACUGAUGCAGCAACGCCGCGUGAGCGAUGAAGGCCUUCGGGUCGUAAAGCUCUGUCCUCAAGGAAGAUAAUGACGGUACUUGAGGAGGAAGCCCCGGCUAACUACGUGCCAGCAGCCGCGGUAAUACGUAGGGGGCUAGCGUUAUCCGGAAUUACUGGGCGUAAAGGGUGCGUAGGUGGUUGCUUAAGUCAGAGGUGAAAGGCUACGGCUCAACCGUAUUAAGCCUUUGAAACUGAGAAGCGUGAGUGCAGGAGAGGAGAGUAGAAUUCCUAGUGUAGCGGUGAAAUGCGUAUAUAUUAGGAGGAAUACCAGUUGCGAAGGCGGCUCUCUGGACUGUAACUGACACUGAGGCACGAAAGCGUGGGGAGCAAACA
This 401-nucleotide ribosomal RNA is filed under the name uncultured bacterium. RNAcentral's name for it is "bacterial SSU rRNA". It matches the Rfam family "Bacterial small subunit ribosomal RNA", at positions 355 to 774 of the family's 1533-position model. The record is from RNAcentral.